Molecule: ribosomal RNA, 1461 nt
Filed under: Xenolophium applanatum
Lineage: Eukaryota; Fungi; Ascomycota; Dothideomycetes
Description: bacterial SSU rRNA
Rfam family: Eukaryotic small subunit ribosomal RNA
Source: RNAcentral
UAUACCGUGAAACUGCGAAUGGCUCAUUAAAUCAGUUAUCGUUUAUUUGAUAGUACCUUACUACUUGGAUAACCGUGGUAAUUCUAGAGCUAAUACAUGCUAAAAACCCCAACUUCGGGAGGGGUGUAUUUAUUAGAUAAAAAACCAAUGCCCUUCGGGGCUCUUUGGUGAUUCAUGAUAACUUAACGGAUCGCAUGGCCUUGCGCCGGCGACGGUUCAUUCAAAUUUCUGCCCUAUCAACUUUCGAUGGUAAGGUAUUGGCUUACCAUGGUUUCAACGGGUAACGGGGAAUUAGGGUUCGAUUCCGGAGAGGGAGCCUGAGAAACGGCUACCACAUCCAAGGAAGGCAGCAGGCGCGCAAAUUACCCAAUCCCGACGCGGGGAGGUAGUGACAAUAAAUACUGAUACAGGGCUCUUUCGGGUCUUGUAAUCGGAAUGAGUACAAUUUAAACCCCUUAACGAGGAACAAUUGGAGGGCAAGUCUGGUGGACAUUCAGCGUCCCAUUCUGCUGACGCCAGAGAUAGCCAGGCGGUCCUACGACCGUUAUGCUGGCUAGUCGAGUAUCUACAGAUCUGAUGGGGAGAUACCGGCGAGACAACCUGGAUCGGGGAAAGCUAAGGCGGAGACGCUAUGCUAAUCCCGAGCAGAGCCCGUGUGGAGCGAUCCUCACCAUGGCCUGUGUAGAGCACGGAAAGGUGUCGGUCGGCUCGCAAGAGUCGGCUUAAGGGACGUGCCAAUCCCACCUGAAAGGGUGGCUACCAGCAAUAGCGCCCAUCUCGCGAAGGCUGGUAGGUUCGAAUAUUUGACAAUCGUGAAGCGGACAGCGCGUGUUUGACUGGCUCUAGCCUAGGCUGCAGUGGAGAUCCACGCACCCGAGGGCGGCGUCGACAAGCCCGUCGCCGGUUCCUUCGCCUGUCAAAUGUUUGUUCGAUAUCUUGGCCAGCAGCCGCGGUAAUUCCAGCUCCAAUAGCGUAUAUUAAAGUUGUUGCAGUUAAAAAGCUCGUAGUUGAACCUUGGGCCUGGCUGGCCGGUCCGCCUCACCGCGUGUACUGGUCCGGCCGGGCCUUUCCUUCUGGAGAGCCGCAUGCCCUUUACUGGGUGUGUUGGGGAACCAGGACUUUUACUUUGAAAAAAUUAGAGUGUUCAAAGCAGGCCUUUGCUCGAAUACGUUAGCAUGGAAUAAUAGAAUAGGACGUGCGGUCCUAUUUUGUUGGUUUCUAGGACCGCCGUAAUGAUUAAUAGGGAUAGUCGGGGGCAUCAGUAUUCAAUUGUCAGAGGUGAAAUUCUUGGAUUUAUUGAAGACUAACUACUGCGAAAGCAUUUGCCAAGGAUGUUUUCAUUAAUCAGUGAACGAAAGUUAGGGGAUCGAAGACGAUCAGAUACCGUCGUAGUCUUAACCGUAAACUAUGCCGACUAGGGAUCGGGCGAUGUUUCUAUCUUGACUCGCUCGGCACCUUACG